Molecule: non-coding RNA, 365 nt
Organism: Aegilops tauschii subsp. strangulata
Lineage: Eukaryota; Viridiplantae; Streptophyta; Magnoliopsida; Poales; Poaceae
Source: RefSeq, a predicted model, not a curated record
UGCGCUAGGUGUUGUAUAUGUCAGCAUUGAUAAUGUUUGCACAUGUGAUGAUACAUAUUAAUUGUUGUAGGAAAUGGCGGACGAUGAGUUAACUGAUAUGAUGUAUGACAUGGAGUUUGGAGAACUGAUGAAAGACUGGAUAGAAGAUUGGUCAGAUGAUGAAAAUUCAGAUCGUUGAGAUAGGUCAGAGAAUGGGAACGUAUUGGAAGAUCUUAAUGAAAACAAUGAGCAUGAUGAUGGUGAGGAAAACAACUCGGAGAUCUCGAAUGAAGAUUACAUUAGUCAGCUCAUUUCCGAAUGUCAUAAUGCGUACGACUAUUACGGUGAAUCCGACGCGGAGACAGGCCUUGAUGUCGAAUCAUUAG